This 27-nucleotide non-coding RNA is filed under the name Cricetulus griseus (Chinese hamster). The record is from RNAcentral. Lineage: Eukaryota; Metazoa; Chordata; Mammalia; Rodentia; Cricetidae.
ACAGAUGGGAAUCUCUCUGAAUAAGAU